This 253-nucleotide ribosomal RNA is filed under the name uncultured prokaryote. Its description in RNAcentral is "partial 16S ribosomal RNA". It matches the Rfam family "Bacterial small subunit ribosomal RNA", at positions 525 to 777 of the family's 1533-position model. The record is from RNAcentral.
ACAGAGGGUGCAAACGUUGUUCGGAAUUACUGGGCGUAAAGCGUGUGUAGGCGGCUAGGCAAGUCGGAUGUGAAAGCCCCGGGCUCAACCCGGGAAGUGCACUCGAUACUGCGUAGCUUGAGUGUGGGAGAGGUUGGUGGAAUUCUCGGUGUAGAGGUGAAAUUCGUAGAUAUCGAGAGGAACACCGGUGGCGAAGGCGGCCUUCUGGACGACAACUGACGCUGAGACGCGAAAGCGUGGGGAGCAAACAGGA